CUUGCUUUCUUUGCUGGCGACCGGCGCACGGGUGAGUAACACGUAUCCAACCUGCCCUUUACUCGGGGAUAGCCUUUCGAAAGAAAGAUUAAUACCCGAUAGCAUAAUGAUUCCGCAUGGUUUCAUUAUUAAAGGAUUCCGGUAAAGGAUGGGGAUGCGUUCCAUUAGGUUGUUGGUGAGGUAACGGCCCACCAAGCCUUCGAUGGAUAGGGGUUCUGAGAGGAAGGUCCCCCACGUUGGAACUGAGACACGGUCCAA
This 258-nucleotide ribosomal RNA is filed under the name uncultured bacterium. Its description in RNAcentral is "partial 16S ribosomal RNA". It matches the Rfam family "Bacterial small subunit ribosomal RNA", at positions 75 to 334 of the family's 1533-position model. The record is from RNAcentral.